This 492-nucleotide ribosomal RNA is filed under the name uncultured bacterium. Its description in RNAcentral is "partial 16S ribosomal RNA". It matches the Rfam family "Bacterial small subunit ribosomal RNA", at positions 29 to 507 of the family's 1533-position model. The record is from RNAcentral.
AGCGAACGCUGGCGGCAGGCCUAACACAUGCAAGUCGAACGGCAGCACAGUAAGAGCUUGCUCUUACGGGUGGCGAGUGGCGGACGGGGCAGGUAUACAUCGGAAUCCACUCUUUCGUGGGGGAUAACGUCGGGAAACUUACGCUAAUACCGCAUACGACCUACGGGGGAAAGCAGGGGUUCUUUGGACCUUGUGCGAUGGUAUGAGCCGAUGUCGGAUUAGCUAGUUGGCGGGGUAAAGGCCCACCAAGGCGACGAUCCGUAGCUGCUCCGAGAGGGUGAUCAGCCACACUGGCGCUGAGGCACGGUCCCGACUCCUGCGCUAGGCAGCAGUCGGGAAUAUUAGGCAAUGGGGGCGAGCCUGAUCCAGCCCUACCGCGUGGGUCCAGAAGGACUUCUGGUUGUAAAGCCCUUUUGUUGGGAGAGAAAAGCAGCAGGUUAAUCCCCCGCUGUACUGACGGUACCCGAAGAAUAAGCACCGGCUAACUUCGUG